CAGUCGCCGCGGGAAUACAGAGGGUGCGAGCGUUAAUCGGAUUUACUGGGCGUAAAGCGUGCGUAGGCGGCUUCUUAAGUCGGAUGUGAAAUCCCUGAGCUUAACUUAGGAAUUGCAUUCGAUACUGGGAAGCUAGAGUAUGGGAGAGGAUGGUAGAAUUCCAGGUGUAGCGGUGAAAUGCGUAGAGAUCUGGAGGAAUACCGAUGGCGAAGGCAGCCAUCUGGCCUAAUACUGACGCUGAGGUACGAAAGCAUGGGGAGCAAACAGGAUUAGAUACCCCGGUAGUCCCUGUCUCUUAUCC
RNAcentral lists this ribosomal RNA (301 nucleotides) under uncultured bacterium. RNAcentral's name for it is "partial 16S ribosomal RNA". It matches the Rfam family "Bacterial small subunit ribosomal RNA", at positions 509 to 809 of the family's 1533-position model. The record is from RNAcentral.